CAAAAGGUACUUCGGUAACUCGCAGCCCGGCCAUAACGAAGGCGGGGUGGCUGAAAUGCCAAUGG
Molecule: non-coding RNA, 65 nt
Submitted as: unclassified sequences
Source: Rfam